UUCUGGACAAAUGGAAUAAUACAAUAUGGGAUAGUCAAUAAAUGGAAUUCAAGUAAUGGAAUCAUAUGAUUCCAAGGAACCUGAAAUUUCUACCAUUCGUCUUUUCUGAAGGGAGUUGCCUGAAGAGUAUUCUUAACUAGGAUAAUGCGUUCUUCUGAACUAUCUUACAAAAUUGUUUGGGC
Molecule: non-coding RNA, 182 nt
Organism: Delphinapterus leucas (beluga whale)
Lineage: Eukaryota; Metazoa; Chordata; Mammalia; Artiodactyla; Monodontidae
Source: RefSeq, a predicted model, not a curated record